This 331-nucleotide ribosomal RNA is filed under the name uncultured eukaryote. Its description in RNAcentral is "partial 18S ribosomal RNA". It matches the Rfam family "Eukaryotic small subunit ribosomal RNA", at positions 1470 to 1796 of the family's 1831-position model. The record is from RNAcentral.
CCCUUAGAUGUUCUGGGCCGCACGCGCGCUACACUGAUGCAUUCAACGAGUUUCUUCCUGGUCCGAGAGGAAUGGGUAACCUUUUGAAAGUGCAUCGUGAUAGGGAUAGACUAUUGCAAUUAUUGGUCUUCAACGAGGAAUUCCUAGUAGACGUAGUUCAUCAGACUGCAUCGAUUACGUCCCUGCCCUUUGUACACACCGCCCGUCGCUCCUACCGAUUGAAUGGUUUAGUGAGAAUUUUGGACUGGAACUCCCUUGCUCAGCAAUGGGCGAGGGGGAGUCCGGGAAGCUAUUCUAACUGUAUCAUUUAGAGGAAGUAAAAGUCGUAACA